UACGUAGGGGGCAAGCGUUGUUCGGAAUUAUUGGGCGUAAAGCGCGUGUAGGCGGUUUCGCAAGUCGGGUGUGAAAGCCCUCAGCUCAACUGAGGAAGUGCGCCCGAAACUGCGGAGCUUGAGUACCGGAGAGGAUGGCGGAAUUCCCCAAGUAGAGGUGAAAUUCGUAGAUAUGGGGAGGAACACCGGUGGCGAAGGCGGCCAUCUGGACGGAUACUGACGCUGAGACGCGAAAGCGUGGGUAGCAAACAGG
RNAcentral lists this ribosomal RNA (253 nucleotides) under uncultured bacterium. Its description in RNAcentral is "partial 16S ribosomal RNA". It matches the Rfam family "Bacterial small subunit ribosomal RNA", at positions 524 to 776 of the family's 1533-position model. The record is from RNAcentral.